GAACGGUGAAGCAGAGCUUGCUCUGUGGAUCAGUGGCGAACGGGUGAGUAACACGUGAGCAAUCUGCCCCUGACUCUGGGAUAAGCGCUGGAAACGGCGUCUAAUACCGGAUACGAGCUGCGACCGCAUGGUCAGUAGCUGGAAAGAAUUUCGGUCAGGGAUGAGCUCGCGGCCUAUCAGCUUGUUGGUGAGGUAAUGGCUCACCAAGGCGUCGACGGGUAGCCGGCCUGAGAGGGUGACCGGCCACACUGGGACUGAGACACGGCCCAGACUCCUACGGGAGGCAGCAGUGGGGAAUAUUGCACAAUGGGCGAAAGCCUGAUGCAGCAACGCCGCGUGAGGGAUGACGGCCUUCGGGUUGUAAACCUCUUUUAGCAGGGAAGAAGCGAAAGUGACGGUACCUGCAGAAAAAGCGCCGGCUAACUACGUGCCAGCAGCCGCGGUAAUACGUAGGGCGCAAGCGUUAUCCGGAAUUAUUGGGCGUAAAGAGCUCGUAGGCGGUCUGUCGCGUCUGCUGUGAAAACCCGAGGCUCAACCUCGGGCCUGCAGUGGGUACGGGCAGACUAGAGUGCGGUAGGGGAGAUUGGAAUUCCUGGUGUAGCGGUGGAAUGCGCAGAUAUCAGGAGGAACACCGAUGGCGAAGGCAGAUCUCUGGGCCGUAACUGACGCUGAGGAGCGAAAGGGUGGGGAGCAAACAGGCUUAGAUACCCUGGUAGUCCACCCCGUAAACGUUGGGAACUAGUUGUGGGGUCCAUUCCACGGAUUCCGUGACGCAGCUAACGCAUUAAGUUCCCCGCCUGGGGAGUACGGCCGCAAGGCUAAAACUCAAAGGAAUUGACGGGGACCCGCACAAGCGGCGGAGCAUGCGGAUUAAUUCGAUGCAACGCGAAGAACCUUACCAAGGCUUGACAUAUAGAGGAAACGUCUGGAAACAGUCGCCCCGCAAGGUCUCUAUACAGGUGGUGCAUGGUUGUCGUCAGCUCGUGUCGUGAGAUGUUGGGUUAAGUCCCGCAACGAGCGCAACCCUCGUUCUAUGUUGCCAGCACGUAAUGGUGGGAACUCAUGGGAUACUGCCGGGGUCAACUCGGAGGAAGGUGGGGAUGACGUCAAAUCAUCAUGCCCCUUAUGUCUUGGGCUUCACGCAUGCUACAAUGGCCGGUACAAAGGGCUGCAAUACCGUGAGGUGGAGCGAAUCCCAAAAAGCCGGUCCCAGUUCGGAUUGAGGUCUGCAACUCGACCUCAUGAAGUCGGAGUCGCUAGUAAUCGCAGAUCAGCAACGCUGCGGUGAAUACGUUCCCGGG
This 1301-nucleotide ribosomal RNA is filed under the name Microbacterium arborescens. RNAcentral describes it as "bacterial SSU rRNA". It matches the Rfam family "Bacterial small subunit ribosomal RNA", at positions 64 to 1378 of the family's 1533-position model. The record is from RNAcentral. Lineage: Bacteria; Bacillati; Actinomycetota; Actinomycetes; Micrococcales; Microbacteriaceae.